UCCCUGGUGGCUCAGUGGUAGAGAACCCGCCUGCCAAUGCAGGAGACACGGGUUCGAUCCCUGAUCCGGGAA
Transfer RNA from Ovis aries (sheep), 72 nucleotides. It matches the Rfam family "tRNA". From Rfam's summary of the family: Transfer RNA (tRNA) molecules are approximately 80 nucleotides in length. Their secondary structure includes four short double-helical elements and three loops (D, anti-codon, and T loops). Further hydrogen bonds mediate the characteristic L-shaped molecular structure. tRNAs have two regions of fundamental functional importance: the anti-codon, which is responsible for specific mRNA codon recognition, and the 3' end, to which the tRNAs corresponding amino acid is attached (by aminoacyl-tRNA synthetases). tRNAs cope with the degeneracy of the genetic code in two manners: having more than one tRNA (with a specific anti-codon) for a particular amino acid; and 'wobble' base-pairing, i.e. permitting non-standard base-pairing at the 3rd anti-codon position. NCBI's taxonomy places the organism in Eukaryota, Metazoa, Chordata, Mammalia, Artiodactyla, Bovidae. The record is from Rfam.